GACUGGCAACGCGGGAGUCCCAGGCACGGGGGCUGAGAGUGGGCGUACGACCGGCCCUUACCGUCACACCUGAUCCGGGUCAUGCCGGCGAAGGGAGCUGAAAUGGCGCGAAC
RNAcentral lists this non-coding RNA (113 nucleotides) under Mycolicibacterium mageritense. Its description in RNAcentral is "Mycobacterium mageritense TPP sequence". It matches the Rfam family "TPP riboswitch aptamer (THI element)". From Rfam's summary of the family: Vitamin B(1) in its active form thiamin pyrophosphate (TPP) is an essential coenzyme that is synthesised by coupling of pyrimidine and thiazole moieties in bacteria. The previously detected thiamin-regulatory element, thi box was extended, resulting in a new, highly conserved RNA secondary structure, the THI element, which is widely distributed in eubacteria and also occurs in some archaea. The record is from RNAcentral. Lineage: Bacteria; Bacillati; Actinomycetota; Actinomycetes; Mycobacteriales; Mycobacteriaceae.